UGCGUAGGCGGUUGGGUAAGUCAGAUGUGAAAUUCCAGGGCUCAACCUUGGAACUGCAUUUGAUACUGCUUGACUAGAGUACUGGAGAGGAGACUGGAAUUCACGGUGUAGCAGUGAAAUGCGUAGAUAUCGUGAGGAAGGCCAGCGGCGAAGGCGAGUCUCUGGACAGUUACUGACGCUGAGGCACGAAGGCUAGGGGAGCAAAC
This 206-nucleotide ribosomal RNA is filed under the name uncultured bacterium. RNAcentral describes it as "partial 16S ribosomal RNA". It matches the Rfam family "Bacterial small subunit ribosomal RNA", at positions 568 to 773 of the family's 1533-position model. The record is from RNAcentral.